ACAAUAUCUGUUUAGCAUUACAACUACUAAUAAAGCUGGAGAUGGAUCUACUAGUAACAUAACAGUUGGAUUUCAAUCAAAUAACUACCUAAAAGUCACAUACAAUAGUAAAGAUGCAUACAGAAAGGAUAAGGAAAGUGUACUAAUCAGUCUCAUUUAUCAGCUAGAUAGCUAUCACUUAUGUGAUGUACCUAUUGAAAUUGUGACAGUAAAGAGUUAUAGUA
Long non-coding RNA from Amphimedon queenslandica, 224 nucleotides. RefSeq lists it as uncharacterized. The transcript is spliced from 3 exons. The record is from RefSeq and is a predicted model, not a curated record. Lineage: Eukaryota; Metazoa; Porifera; Demospongiae; Haplosclerida; Niphatidae.